GUGCCCAUAGUUCAAUCGGCGGAACGUCUGACUGUGGAUCAGAAGGAUGUGGGUUCGAGCCCCACUGGGCACC
RNAcentral lists this transfer RNA (73 nucleotides) under Chloroflexota bacterium. Its description in RNAcentral is "tRNA-His". It matches the Rfam family "tRNA". From Rfam's summary of the family: Transfer RNA (tRNA) molecules are approximately 80 nucleotides in length. Their secondary structure includes four short double-helical elements and three loops (D, anti-codon, and T loops). Lineage: Bacteria; Bacillati; Chloroflexota. The record is from RNAcentral.